This 744-nucleotide long non-coding RNA is filed under the name Brassica rapa (field mustard). RNAcentral describes it as "long non-coding RNA (BRAP_LNC003220)". The record is from RNAcentral. Lineage: Eukaryota; Viridiplantae; Streptophyta; Magnoliopsida; Brassicales; Brassicaceae.
AUUUCAAGCUUCUUUCCUCAUCGCUGCGCUUUAAUUUUCAGGUAUACAUUUCUUCAAGCACCGUGAGUAUCAAUCUCAUUCCCCUGCUAUAUAUACUCCUCACUAAUUCAAGAGACCUUUCUAAGUCUCAUUGAACUAACAGAUUCUCAUAUACUGCACAGUGUUAAUCUGAGGAUUGCUAGCUUCUACCACCAGCUUUAGUAACUCGCUGUCAAAGACCUUAACGCAUCCUUUUGUUCCUUGAUGACAUGUCGCUCGAUUUAAGAUCCUGUUUCACUGAAGUUACUUGGCGUGCAAGACUCGAGAAAUCCACAAACCCUUUUGUGUUUCAGUGGUCUUGUCUACAAUUAGUAAUCAUGAGGUACUAUCUACGUUCUCUCUGGUGUAAAUUAUGUAUUAGCUUUAUUAGAAACUAGAAAUUUAGUUAAGUCUCUUGUCUUAAAGUUACUAGCUGGAACGUACACAAUACAUUACAUAUAAAUAAUCAAGGUACAUAUGUAACUUAGGUCCCUCUCAAAUCGUUACCCGUCUUUAUUUUAAGUUGUUUAACCAUAAUUGUAACAUGAAUAGACAAAUGCAUAAGGAGCUUAUUUUGUUGAUUAGACUUUACUUAAACAAGUUGGAGAGGUGGUUGGUUUUGGUCGGAGGAGUUCUGAUUUGGUUCAAGAAGGUUAACCGGAAUAUAGUUCCGGUUGUACUGCUCCGACUGAUGAGAAGAUGACUCGUAAACCGUCCCUUGUUGAU